AGUAUUUUAGGAUUUCCAUGACAUUUAAUUAUUUCAGUGCAUAUGUGCAAGAGUGCCAAAGAAGAGAGCCUUGUGGGGAGAGGAAUUCCAGAUCACAGAAGAAUUCCCAUAUUCAAACAGGAUGUCCAUUAUACAUUCCUUGCUCAUCAUGAAGAACAGAACAAUGACAAGGACCAAGCAGAAUCAGAAGGCUAUCUUCACACUAGAGUAAUGACUUGGACAGCAACA
Molecule: long non-coding RNA, 228 nt
Filed under: Homo sapiens (human)
Lineage: Eukaryota; Metazoa; Chordata; Mammalia; Primates; Hominidae
Description: HSALNT0145993
Source: RNAcentral